Molecule: ribosomal RNA, 173 nt
Filed under: Enterococcus avium
Lineage: Bacteria; Bacillati; Bacillota; Bacilli; Lactobacillales; Enterococcaceae
Description: partial 16S ribosomal RNA
Rfam family: Bacterial small subunit ribosomal RNA
Source: RNAcentral
UUUUAUGAGAGUUUGAUCCUGGCUCAGGACGAACGCUGGCGGCGUGCCUAAUACAUGCAAGUCGAACGCUUUUUCUUUCACCGGAGCUUGCUCCACCGAAAGAAAAGGAGUGGCGAACGGGUGAGUAACACGUGGGUAACCUGCCCAUCAGAAGGGGAUAACACUUGGAAACA